GCAUCAGCUCCAUCCACGCUCACUAAACUUUGACUCAUGGCUUGCAUGUUCUUCAUGUCACUUUUUCUGGAGUCGGUGGUCCUGCACACCUCGUAAUUGUACACGUGCGGGAGAGUCCCUGUUCCCAAAGUAUCCGAGUAACGUGGUGGACAAUACGGAAUGACAGGCAGGUUGGAGUGGUACAGGACGCGAGACUGUCUCCACCGGUACACUUUGACCGAUAUGAUAAGCAGCAAGCAGGCGAUGAAGAGGAAGGAGACCACCGCCAGCGCCAAGACUAAGUAAAAAGUCAA
Long non-coding RNA from Hippocampus zosterae (dwarf seahorse), 293 nucleotides. RefSeq lists it as uncharacterized. The transcript has 2 exons. The record is from RefSeq and is a predicted model, not a curated record. NCBI's taxonomy places the organism in Eukaryota, Metazoa, Chordata, Actinopteri, Syngnathiformes, Syngnathidae.